UAGGGAAUCUUCCACAAUGGGCGCAAGCCUGAUGGAGCAACACCGCGUGAGUGAAGAAGGGUUUCGGCUCGUAAAGCUCUGUUGUUAAAGAAGAACACGUAUGAGAGUAACUGUUCAUACGUUGACGGUAUUUACCAGAAAGUCACGGCUAACUACGUGCCAG
RNAcentral lists this ribosomal RNA (163 nucleotides) under uncultured bacterium. Its description in RNAcentral is "partial 16S ribosomal RNA". It matches the Rfam family "Bacterial small subunit ribosomal RNA", at positions 355 to 511 of the family's 1533-position model. The record is from RNAcentral.